AUUGAACGCUGGCGGCAUGCCUUACACAUGCAAGUCGAACGGCAGCACGGGGGCAACCCUGGUGGCGAGUGGCGAACGGGUGAGUAACAUAUCGGAACGUGCCCUGGAGUGGGGGAUAACUAGUCGAAAGAUUAGCUAAUACCGCAUACGAUCUACGGAUGAAAGUGGGGGAUCGCAAGACCUCAUGCUCGUGGAGCGGCCGAUAUCUGAUUAGCAGUUGGUGGGGUAAAGGCCUACCAAGGCAUCGAUCAGUAGCUGGUCUGAGAGGACGACCAGCCACACUGGGACUGAGACACGGCCCAGACUCCUACGGGGGGCAGCAAUUAGGAAUCUUGCGCAAUGGGCGGAAGCCUGACGCAGCGACGUCGCGUGGGGGACGAAAUCUUUCGGGAUGUAAACCCCUUUUACCGGGGAAGAAGAAUGUGACGGUACCCGGUGAAUAAG
This 444-nucleotide ribosomal RNA is filed under the name uncultured bacterium. Its description in RNAcentral is "bacterial SSU rRNA". It matches the Rfam family "Bacterial small subunit ribosomal RNA", at positions 30 to 490 of the family's 1533-position model. The record is from RNAcentral.